AACAAGGUCUCCGUUGGUGAACCAGCGGAGGGAUCAUUAUCGAGUUAUUCAACUCCCAAACCCUAUGUGAACUUACCACUUGUUGCUUCGGCGCGCGCUUCGGCGCCGCCGAGGACACUUAAACUCUUUGUUUUUAUAAGCAUUUCUGAGUGGCCGAAAGGCAAAAAUACAAAUGAAUCAAAACUUUCAACAACGGAUCUCUUGGUUCUGGCAUCGAUGAAGAACGCAGCGAAAUGCGAUAAGUAAUGUGAAUUGCAGAAUUCAGUGAAUCAUCGAAUCUUUGAACGCACAUUGCGCCCGCCAGCAUUCUGGCGGGCAUGCCUGUUCGAGCGUCAUUUCAACCCUCGAGCCCGACUCUUUUGAGGACGGCUCGGCGUUGGGGGACGGCAGACUCCCCCCGGCAUCUCGCCGGGGACGCCGCCCCCGAAAUCUAGUGGCGGCCCUCCGAGGCGACCUCUGCGUAGUAACUUGUUCUCGCACCGGAAAGCUCAGAGCGGCCACGCCGUAAAACCCCAACUUUUUUCAGGUUGACCUCGAAUCAGGUAGGACUACCCGCUGAACUUAAGCAUAUCAAUAAGCGGAGGAAAU
RNAcentral lists this ribosomal RNA (588 nucleotides) under uncultured eukaryote. RNAcentral describes it as "eukaryotic LSU rRNA". The stretch from base 182 to 335 matches the Rfam family "5.8S ribosomal RNA". The record is from RNAcentral.